AAUAAGGUGUCAGAUAAAUGAGUUACUUUGAUAGAGUAAAAAAUGUAAGAUGACCCUUACCCUUAUUA
RNAcentral lists this transfer RNA (68 nucleotides) under Vulcanolepas fijiensis. RNAcentral's name for it is "tRNA-Ile". Lineage: Eukaryota; Metazoa; Arthropoda; Thecostraca; Neolepadidae. The record is from RNAcentral.